GUCAGGGGGCCACCCAGGCCGCAGCCCUCGGGGGCGGUGAGUCUGGACAGAGACGACCACUUCCGGAGGGGCCGGGAGCCCUUCAUGUCCAGACAAGAGUCGGGCUCCCGCUCUCGGCCACCGUGGUCGCCCAGCGCCUGCAGGAGGCCCGCGCUCCAUCGCGGUCCCUCGGACACCGUACCAGAGAUUGAACCUGGGCCUCAUGCACCCUAGUGUGUCUGGGUCAAGGUCCACGCUGAGUCCACAAGGCACUCUCUCCCUCCAAGACCUGAGACCCGAGACCCGAGCGAGGGAGGACAGAGAAGCAGUUGUGGAGCCCACAGCAACAAACAACAAGGACCAUCCCCAAGGGAUCGCAGCAAAAUUCUCAGCCAUGGAAGCGAAGAACGAGAGACAGUCAGACAGACAGAAGAACCCACAGGGAAAUGCCAGCUGGGGAAGGAGCAGGGGGCGUCGAGUGUCUGCAGAAAGAAAGGAGCUCGAGCCUUGGAAAUAAAUACCAGACCCCAAACUGGGACAGACAGAAACACAGGGCUCAGACAGGAGCCUCACACCCCAACGCUCCAGCAAGGGAGCAGGCACCCAGCACAUACCAGUCCCUCCCUGUGAUGCAAUCGGGUGCAGAAUCACAAAGGGGCCAUCCGACUGUUCCUGAUGGAUGAAUGGAGUCAUUCUCACCAGACUCCUGAAAUAAGGGUGUGAGGACGGAGAAGAAGAAUCGUUUCUGAAGCAAUGAUGAUAGAGCAAAAAACUGUGGCAGGAAAUCUAAAAGUCAUGUCAUAAGUCCUACAAUAAAUAAGCUGUUUCUACGUUAAAGAUGAAAGCAGGCUCAGCGAAGUGAGAAAUUCUCCAAGAAGUGGCCCUCUCCCUCCCUCACGGACAGCAGUGCCUCUGUCUUGGGGACUGACGCCCCUGUGUGAUGGCCUAGGAAUCACUCUGCCCCUGCAAGCCCACCCAUCCGCUCUAACACUGCAUCCGUUACCAGUGAAAACAACCUCAUCAUUCACAGUCUUGUAAAAAUCCCAUUAGGCUAACUGAAAACUUGAAAAAAAUCCUAUAAUGGCUCAUUUUAUUUACUACUUCAGGAAUUUUAGUAGUCACCCACAGAAAGUAAUGCCUUAGAAACCAUUUUUUAAGCUGGGUAUGGUUCAUGCCUCUAAUCCCAGCCCGUGAGGAGGCUGAAGCAGAAGACUGCAGUUUGAGAGUAGCCUGACAAUCCAAUGAGCCUGUCCCAAAAUUUAAAAAAAAAAGUUGGGCCAGGGGUUUAGCUCAGUGGUUCCAGCACCUGCCUCGCAAGCACAAGGUCCGGAGUUCGAUCCCUGGUACCAAAAAAUAAAAAUAAAAAUAAAAUAAAACAAAAUAAAAGUUAAGGGCUGGAGGUGUAGCUCAGUGUAGAGCUCCCCUGGAUUUGGUUCCUAGUACCACAAAGCUAAGCAAAUGUUUUUUAAAAAGAUAAUACAUUCUUAUCUUUAGAUAAAAUUUAUCUUUUCUUUAGCAUAUCAACUUUUUCUUAAAUGCCUUUGAAAUCAAGUCAAAAUGAAUCACACACUUAAAUGUAAAUGAUAAGCCUCUUAGAACAAAAGAGAGAGAAAAUAUUUAAGAUCUGGGACUAAUCAAAGAGUUCUUACAUUUCACCUAAGAAGCAUAAUUCAUAAAGAAAAAACAGCACACUGCAAUUCAGAUUUAAAAACUCAUGCUCUGCUGAUGGCAUUGUUAGGUUACAAAGACCAGCUGCACAGCUGGGGUGGGGGUGUUUACAACAGCCCAGCCCAGCGAAGACCAGCAUCCAAAUGUGCAAAGAAGCCCAAAACUCAACAGUGAAAAGGCAAUAAUACAGUGAGAAAGUGGGCAAAAGACACGAAGAGGUAUUUCCGUGAUGAGGACAGAAAUCUCCAUUCCAGCCUCCUGCCCGCUCAGGACAGUGAGAAGAGCAGAGCGCCAAGCACAGGACUGCGGAGCGCCUCCUCUACACACACCCACACUGCCUGAGGACUGCGCGCCUGGGAAGAAGCACACACAAGCCCUUCUGCAGCAAAGAACAGCAGGAGCAUGAGAAACAGCAGCUUCCAAGCUAGACCACGAGAGGCAGCUCAGUGGGAACUAUCUGACGGAAUGUCAGGCAACUGCAAUCAGCAUGCUGCACCCGCUGAUGAAAAAGCCAGUGCGUGCAAGAACAGAGGCCUAAUGUCCACAGCAGCACACAGAUGCUCAGAAAGAAUCACAGGGAAAUGCUAGAGAUGGAAACGCUCCACUAGAAGAGCAGAACCACCUUGACAUGGCGUCAGGAGCACAUGCUUUAGUCGGCUUCUCACUGCUAUCACAAAAUGCCAGAGCACAGCAACCUCAGGGCAGAAAGACUGACUCGGGCUUGCACCUGCAAAAGUUUGGCCCACAGCACAGGGCCAUGGCAGGGGAAAGCUGCUCGCUCACGACAGCCAGGAAGGAGAGCGCAGCCAGCACGCCCAGCGUACCCUUCUCCUGCUGCUGCCCUGGGGCAGUGCCCUGGACACAGCCAGCCAUGCACUUUACUAAUCCCAGUGAUCCUCAGUCCCACCUUGUAGACAAGCAAGACUGACCAUCACAGGAGACUGAGAGCAGCUAAGGAAAGUCUGUGAACUGGAAGACAUGUCAACAGAAACAUCUAAAAUUAAAAACAAAGGGUAAAAAGACUGAUAAAAAUGUAAGACAAUACCCAAAGACUGCGGCACAACUACCAAAGGUGGACAUUAUACCUUCACCAAAAAGAUGGAUCACAGACAUAAAUGUAAAACAAGAAACUAAAAGUCAUGGAAACACAAAUUAAAGCAGCAAAUCCCACAGAACCACUGAGAACACCAAAUGCAGACAGGGACAUGGAGCGGCAGACUCUCACCCAUAGCUGUGGGAACAUAAAAGGUGCAGCCACUCUGACAGACAGUCUGGAAGUUUCUCCCAAAACUAAACCUACUUUGAUCAUACCUAUCCAGCAAAUGUGCAGGGUACUGACCCAAAGGAGCUAAAAAUGGAUGUAAGUACAAAAAUGUGCACAAGAAUAUUUAUAGAAGCUUUGUUCACAACCUCCAAAACGUGGAGCAGCCAAGACGUCCUUUAGUAAACAAAUGGAUAAACAAACUGGUACAUCCAGACUCCGGGAUAUUACUCAGCACUGAAAACAAAACAAGCCAUGAAGAGACACGGGGAAACAUAAAUGCAUACUACUUAGGGAAUGAAACCAAUCUGAAAAGACUAUAUAAAGUAUGAUUCCAGCUACGUACGUGACAUCUGGGAAGAGGCAGAAAGUACGGCGAUGGUAAAAAGCAGUGGUUACUAGGACCUGCGGGUAAGGAGAAAGGAACAGGCAGCCCCCGCCGGGGGUUCUUAAGGCAGUGGAACUGUUCUGUCCAGGCCCAUCCGGCUGACAGGGCCUCAGUGCAGGCUUGUAAGUGCCUACGCUUUCACUCCGGUGAGACGCUGACCUCAGAGGAGGCUGAGCCCAUGCGGAAACAGACAUGUGGCAAAUCUCUGCACCCCUAAAACCCAGUUACCUUUGAAAAACGAGAUCUCACGACCACAACGUGCUAUCACCGUAUACAGAAAGGGUAGGGUUUCUAAACAUCAAACUCUGGCAAGUAUAAGGAGAAACUUGAUCACUUAUACACGCAGUAGGGGGAAAUGGCAGUCACUCUGGAAAUGGUGUGGCGGUUUCUUCCAGAACUGAACAAGCAACUGCUACACAACCCGGCUGCUGCACUCCUGGCCACAGGGCCAGAGAAAGGAAGGCCCGUCUCUGCUGCCCACCAAGCCCUGAGGGUGCGUUCGGGUGCGUUCGCAGCACCUUCAGGCUAAGGGCAGCACAGCACGAGGGAAGCAGCUUAGACGCCCACGGCAGGGCAGGAUCAGCUGCAGUCUCCAGGGCCCCACUGCGGAGCGCCACUCACCCAUGGAAAGGGAGGAACUGUCCUACAGACUCCCAUUCACACAGCGCUCUCCAAACAGACAGUCAGACCUGGAAGAGACUGGUGCUGUCCAGGAGAGACAGACGGGGCACAGAGAGGAGUGCCGGAGCACAGGCUGGGUGCGUGGAAAGCUCUGCAUGUCACCUCUGGGGCCAUUACCCCCUGCAACACUGCACUGGAGCCGGGUGAGAUAUUUCCAGGGGAAGGGGUGAGGGCUACACAGAACCCCGCCGUAUGAAUCUUAAAACACCACAUGCUACAGCUCUCUCAGAAUAAGAUGUUUAGUUAAGAAAAUUAAAGGGAAGAUGGAGGAUCACCAGAGAGAGAAUUUAAUUUGGUGAUACAGCAACUCAGAAAAAUAUUAAGCACUCAAAUACUGUAAUUUUUAGUUUGAACAAUAAAGUAGAGCCGUUGGAUAUCCGCAGUGCACAACUG
Heterocephalus glaber (naked mole-rat) is the source of this 4370-nucleotide long non-coding RNA. RefSeq lists it as uncharacterized. The record is from RefSeq and is a predicted model, not a curated record. Lineage: Eukaryota; Metazoa; Chordata; Mammalia; Rodentia; Bathyergidae.